Molecule: ribosomal RNA, 491 nt
Filed under: uncultured bacterium
Lineage: Bacteria
Description: partial 16S ribosomal RNA
Rfam family: Bacterial small subunit ribosomal RNA
Source: RNAcentral
GUGAACGCUGGCGGUAGGCCUAACCCAUGCAAGUCGAACGGCAGCACAGUAAGAGCUUGCUCUUACGGGUGGCGAGUGGCGGACGGGUGAGGAAUACAUCGGAAUCUACUUUUUCGUGGGGGAUAACGUAGGGAAACUUACGCUAAUACCGCAUACGACCUACGGGUGAAAGCAGGGGAUCUUCGGACCUUGCGCGAUUGAAUGAGCCGAUGUCGGAUUAGCUAGUUGGCGGGGUAAAGGCCCACCAAGGCGACGAUCCGUAGCUGGUCUGAGAGGAUGAUCAGCCACACUGGAACUGAGACACGGUCCAGACUCCUACGGGAGGCAGCAGUGGGGAAUAUUGGACAAUGGGCGCAAGCCUGAUCCAGCCAUACCGCGUGGGUGAAGAAGGCCUUCGGGUUGUAAAGCCCUUUUGUUGGGAAAGAAAAGCAGCAGGUUAAUACCCCGCUGUUCUGACAGUACCCAAAGAAUAAGCACCGGCUAACUUCGUG